AGAGUUAAAACGGAAAUUUGAGCAGUUGAAACAGGAAAGAAUUAGUCGAUAUCAGGGGGUGAAUCUCUACAUUAAGAACUUGGAUGACACUAUUGAUGAUGAGAAAUUAAGGAAAGAAUUUUCUCCUUUUGGAUCAAUUACCAGUGCUAAGGUAAUGCUGGAGGAUGGAAGAAGCAAAGGGUUUGGCUUCGUCUGCUUCUCAUCUCCUGAAGAAGCAACCAAAGCAGUCACUGAGAUGAAUGGACGCAUUGUGGGCUCCAAGCCACUAUAUGUUGCCCUGGCCCAGAGGAAGGAAGAGAGAAAGGCUCACCUGACCAACCAGUAUAUGCAACGAGUGGCUGGAAUGAGAGCACUUCCUGCCAAUGCCAUCUUAAAUCAGUUCCAGCCUGCAGCGGGUGGCUACUUUGUGCCAGCAGUCCCACAGGCUUCCAAGGAAUGCCAAGUGCUAUACGCCAGUCUGGGCCUCGUCCAACUCUUCGUCAUCUGGCUCCAACUGGUAAUGCUCCGGCCUCUCGUGGCCUCCCUACUACCACUCAGAGAGUCGGUGAGCAAACUGGCCUUUAGAAGUGUGGCCUGGGGAGG
This 582-nucleotide small RNA is filed under the name Pongo abelii (Sumatran orangutan). Its description in RNAcentral is "retained intron". The record is from RNAcentral. Lineage: Eukaryota; Metazoa; Chordata; Mammalia; Primates; Hominidae.